RNAcentral lists this ribosomal RNA (916 nucleotides) under uncultured rumen bacterium. Its description in RNAcentral is "partial 16S ribosomal RNA". It matches the Rfam family "Bacterial small subunit ribosomal RNA". The record is from RNAcentral.
GCCCUAAUUACAUGCAAGCUCGAACGAGACGACCUUAGGAAAACUGAGCUGCUUGCACGAAGUUGGAUCAAGAUCAUCGUCUAGUGGCAGACGGGUGAGUAACACGUGGGUAACCUACCUUCAAGUUGGGGAUAACAGUUGGAAACGAUUGCUUAUACCGAAUAAGGUACUUGUACUGAAAGGAGCCUUUAAAGCUUUGCUUAAAGAUGGGCCUGCGGCGUAUUAACUAGUUGGUGAGGUAAUGGCCCACCAAGGUAACGAUGCGUAGCCGAACUGAGAGGUUGAACGGCCACACUGGGACUGAGACACGGCCCAGACUCCUACGGGAGACAGCAGUUAGGAAUAUUCGUCAAUGGGGGAAACCCUGAACGAGCAAUGCCGCGUGAGUGAUGAAGGCCCUCUGGGUUGUAAAACUCUGUUGUAUGGGAAGAACGGUUCUAUUAGGAAAUGAAUAGAGAGUGACGGUACCAUACGAGAAAGCUCCGGCUAACUACGUGCCAGCAGCCGCGGUAAUACGUAGGGAGCGAGCGUUAUCCGGAUUUAUUGGGCGUAAAGCGUGCGUAGGCGGUUUAUUAAGUUUAAGAUCAAAUGCUGAGGCUCAACUUCAGUUCGUCUUAAAAACUGGUAGACUUGAGUGUGGUAGAGGUAAAUGGAAUUUCUAGUGUAGCGGUGAAAUGCGUAGAUAUUAGAAGGAACACCAGUGGCGAAGCGAUUUACUGGGCCAUAACUGACGCUGAGGCACGAAGCGUGGGAGCAAUAGGAUUAGAUCCCUAUAGUCCAGCCGUAACGAUGAUNCUANUGUUGGGNUACCCAUGCUGANCUACNNUNANUCUCCCCUGAUUUNCGNUCCAGNUUAACUNAGGAUUGCGGCCCNCCANCGUGNCCUGUNUUNUUNAAUCCNANACUUCUNNUNAUC